Molecule: unclassified non-coding RNA, 239 nt
Filed under: Camptobasidium sp.
Lineage: Eukaryota; Fungi; Basidiomycota; Microbotryomycetes; Kriegeriales; Camptobasidiaceae
Description: partial contains 5.8S ribosomal RNA, internal transcribed spacer 2, and large subunit ribosomal RNA
Rfam family: 5.8S ribosomal RNA (bases 1-52)
Source: RNAcentral
AACGCACAUUGCGCCCGCUGGUAUUCCGGCGGGCAUGCCUGUUCGAGCGUCAUUAUAACCAAUCAAGCUCUGCUUGGCUUUGGGGCCCGCUGUACCGGCGGCCCUUAAAAUCAGUGGCAGUGCCGUCUGGCUCUAAGCGUAGUAAUACUUCUCGCUAUAGGGUUUAGUCGUCCACUCGUCAGAACCCCAAUUUUUUUUAGGUUGACCUCGGAUCAGGUAGGGAUACCCGCUGAACUUAG